Daphnia magna is the source of this 442-nucleotide long non-coding RNA. RefSeq lists it as uncharacterized. The record is from RefSeq and is a predicted model, not a curated record. NCBI's taxonomy places the organism in Eukaryota, Metazoa, Arthropoda, Branchiopoda, Diplostraca, Daphniidae. The transcript is spliced from 2 exons.
UAAGGUUAACCCGCAAUCCGUUUGGUUUUGGUUUUGAAAAACCAACAAAUAUUACGGAAACAGCUUCCCAUCAUGAUUUUUGAUAAGAAAACACCACACGGAUUGCAAAAGAAAUUUCAGCUUCUCAAUGUAGACUACACAGCAUCACCACAAACUGGAAAAAUAUGACGUCAUUUGCAACGACGUCUCACGAUCGGUCAGACGAAAAUGAUUUCUCGGGCGGUAUAUUGCUUCACGCUUGUUUGUUUCUGUUUCAAUCUUCUUUAUUUAAAGGUUCAAAGCUAUCCGCUGAUGGCUAACGAAGGACAAAGUACAUUACACAAUGGCACAGACAUCAGCUUGAAAGAAAGUGUCGAAGCUCUGCUGGCCUCUCUUGCCCUUAUUAAUCAAUAAAUUUUGAUUCAAUUUCCCAAAUUGAAUAAAUACUUGAUUUUUCAAUGAA